AACAUGCUCCCUUAGAUCCACCUUUGUGAAUGUUACUUGUGCUGAGUUCUGUUAAUUUUCAGCAGUUCCAGUCAAGGACUUUCAGCAACUUUAUUGGUUGUACAGUCAAAGGUGCUUGAGUCAUUGGCAUGUGAGAGUAAUAUACCUGCAUUUUAGCCUUCAAUGUUCUGAUAGCAGCAGCUGCAGCUCUGCUGCUUACUGUGUCUCACUAUCAGGAUUUGACUGAUUUGCAGACAUU
Small nucleolar RNA from Bombina bombina (fire-bellied toad), 238 nucleotides. RefSeq annotates it as small nucleolar RNA SNORA53. The transcript has a single exon. The record is from RefSeq and is a predicted model, not a curated record. NCBI's taxonomy places the organism in Eukaryota, Metazoa, Chordata, Amphibia, Anura, Bombinatoridae.